UACGAAGGUGGCAAGCGUUGUUCGGAUUCACUGGGCGUACAGGGUGUGUAGGCGGUUUGGUAAGCCUUCUGUUAAAGCUUCGGGCCCAACCCGGAAAGCGCAGAGGGUACUGCCAGGCUAGAGGGCGGGAGAGGAGCGCGGAAUUCCCGGUGUAGCGGUGAAAUGCGUAGAGAUCGGGAGGAAGGCCGGUGGCGAAGGCGGCGAUCUGGCCCAACAUUGACACUCAGACCCGAAAGUGCGGGGAUCAAACAGG
Molecule: ribosomal RNA, 253 nt
Filed under: uncultured bacterium
Lineage: Bacteria
Description: partial 16S ribosomal RNA
Rfam family: Bacterial small subunit ribosomal RNA
Source: RNAcentral